CUACGGGAGGCAGCAGUAGGGAAUAUUGGACAAUGGGCGAAAGCCUGAUCCAGCAAUGCCGCGUGAGUGAUGAAGGCCUUAGGGUUGUAAAGCUCUUUUACCAGGGAUGAUAAUGACAGUACCUGGAGAAUAAGCUCCGGCUAACUCCGUGCCAGCAGCCGCGGUAAUACGGAGGGAGCUAGCGUUGUUCGGAAUUACUGGGCGUAAAGCGCGCGUAGGCGGCGAUUUAAGUCAGAGGUGAAAGCCCGGGGCUCAACCCCGGAAUAGCCUUUGAGACUGGAUUGCUAGAAUCCUGGAGAGGUGAGUGGAAUUCCGAGUGUAGAGGUGAAAUUCGUAGAUAUUCGGAAGAACACCAGUGGCGAAGGCGGCUCACUGGACAGGUAUUGACGCUGAGGUGCGAAAGCGUGGGGAGCAAACAGGAUUAGAAACCCGAGUAGUCC
RNAcentral lists this ribosomal RNA (440 nucleotides) under uncultured bacterium. RNAcentral's name for it is "bacterial SSU rRNA". It matches the Rfam family "Bacterial small subunit ribosomal RNA", at positions 339 to 796 of the family's 1533-position model. The record is from RNAcentral.